RNAcentral lists this ribosomal RNA (369 nucleotides) under uncultured organism. Its description in RNAcentral is "bacterial SSU rRNA". It matches the Rfam family "Bacterial small subunit ribosomal RNA", at positions 526 to 896 of the family's 1533-position model. The record is from RNAcentral.
CGUAGGGUGCGAGCGUUAAUCGGAAUUACUGGGCGUAAAGCGUGCGCAGGCGGUUAUGUAAGACAGAUGUGAAAUCCCCGGGCUCAACCUGGGAACUGCAUUUGUGACUGCAUGGCUAGAGUACGGUAGAGGGGGAUGGAAUUCCGCGUGUAGCAGUGAAAUGCGUAGAUAUGCGGAGGAACACCGAUGGCGAAGGCAAUCCCCUGGACCUGUACUGACGCUCAUGCACGAAAGCGUGGGGAGCAAACAGGAUUAGAUACCCUGGUAGUCCACGCCCUAAACGAUGUCAACUGGUUGUUGGGAAUUAGUUUCUCAGUAACGAAGCUAACGCGUGAAGUUGACCGCCUGGGGAGUACGGCCGCAAGGUUG